CCCUUAGAUGUUCUGGGCUGCACGCGUGUUACAAUCGGGAGUACAACAAGAUUGCAAAUCCUAGUGGAUGAGUGGUUCUUCGAAAUUUUCUGAAGACUGGGAUAGUUGAUUGAAAUUAUUCAACUCGAACGAGGAAUUCCUUGUAAUUGUAAUUCAUUAUAUUGUAAUGAAUACGUCCCUGCCCUUUGUACACACUGCCCGUCGCUCCUACCGAUUGAACGAUCCGGUGAAUUAUUUGGAGUAGCUCUGGAAGUUGCAGAACUUCCUAUGUCGCGAAAUUUUGUAAACCUUAUCGUUUAGAGGAAGGAAAAGUCGUAACA
Molecule: ribosomal RNA, 320 nt
Filed under: uncultured eukaryote
Lineage: Eukaryota
Description: partial 18S ribosomal RNA
Rfam family: Eukaryotic small subunit ribosomal RNA
Source: RNAcentral